RNAcentral lists this ribosomal RNA (466 nucleotides) under uncultured bacterium. RNAcentral describes it as "partial 16S ribosomal RNA". It matches the Rfam family "Bacterial small subunit ribosomal RNA", at positions 29 to 507 of the family's 1533-position model. The record is from RNAcentral.
AUGAACGCUGGCGGCGUGCUUCACACAUGCACGUCGAACGGAAAGGCCCAAGCUUGCUUGGGUACUCGAGUGGCGAACGGGUGAGUAACACGUGGGUGAUCUGCCCUGCACUUCGGGAUAAGCCUGGGAAACUGGGUCUAAUACCGGAUAGGACCACAUUUUGGAUGGUGUGGUGGAAAGUUUUUCGGUGUGGGAUGAGCUCGCGGCCUAUCAGCUUGUUGGUGGGGUAAUGGCCUACCAAGGCGUCGACGGGUAGCCGGCCUGAGAGGGUGUACGGCCACAUUGGGACUGAGAUACGGCCCAGACUCCUACGGGAGGUAGCAGUGGGGAAUAUUGCACAAUGGGCGCAAGCCUGAUGCAGCGACGCCGCGUGGGGGAUGACGGCCUUCGGGUUGUAAACUCCUUUCGCUAGGGACGAAGCGUUUUUGUGACGGUACCUGGAGAAGAAGCACCGGCUAACUACGUG